RNAcentral lists this transfer RNA (71 nucleotides) under bacterium. Its description in RNAcentral is "tRNA-Gln". It matches the Rfam family "tRNA". Rfam says of the family: Transfer RNA (tRNA) molecules are approximately 80 nucleotides in length. Their secondary structure includes four short double-helical elements and three loops (D, anti-codon, and T loops). The record is from RNAcentral.
UGGGGGGUCGUCCAACGGUAAGACAACGGCCUUUGAAGCCGUGUAUCCAGGUUCGAGUCCUGGCCCCCCAA